RNAcentral lists this ribosomal RNA (254 nucleotides) under uncultured bacterium. Its description in RNAcentral is "partial 16S ribosomal RNA". It matches the Rfam family "Bacterial small subunit ribosomal RNA", at positions 524 to 776 of the family's 1533-position model. The record is from RNAcentral.
UACAGAGGUCUCAAGCGUUGUUCGGAUUCAUUGGGCGUAAAGGGUGCGUAGGCGGCGCGGUAAGUCGGGUGUGAAAUCUCGGAGCUUAACUCCGAAACUGCAUUUGAUACUGCCGUGCUUGAGGACUGGAGAGGAGACUUGGAAUUUACGGUGUAGCGGUGAAAUGCGUAGAUAUCGUAAGGAAGACCAGUGGCGAAGGCGGGUCUCUGGACAGUUCCUGACGCUGAGGCACGAAGGCCAGGGGAGCAAACGGG